This 253-nucleotide ribosomal RNA is filed under the name uncultured bacterium. Its description in RNAcentral is "partial 16S ribosomal RNA". It matches the Rfam family "Bacterial small subunit ribosomal RNA", at positions 524 to 776 of the family's 1533-position model. The record is from RNAcentral.
UACGUAGGGGGCAAGCGUUGUCCGGAAUUAUUGGGCGUAAAGCGCACGUAGGCGGAUUGUUAAGUCAGGGGUGAAAUCCCGGGGCUCAACCCCGGAACUGCCUUUGAUACUGAUAGUCUCGAGUCCGGAAGAGGUGAGUGGAAUUCCGAGUGUAGAGGUGAAAUUCGUAGAUAUUCGGAGGAACACCAGUGGCGAAGGCGGCUCACUGGUCCGGUACUGACGCUGAGGUGCGAAAGCGUGGGGAGCAAACAGG